CUCCGCAUGCGCGCAGUACACAAAAUGUCGAGAGGACCGGCAGAGUUUCAAAAUAACAAAAAAGGAAAAGGGUCUGAAGCAAAAGUUUGGGCACCUUGCAUGUUAGACCUGCGGUGAGAGAUUUAUUGGAAGAAAAACCCCAACUGGAAGGAAACCACGACUGUAGACGAGGGAACAGCAACAAAGUGAACCUGCCCGAGGAUUGAGAGCAUCAACUGGAGAGAACCCAUCUGACUCGGAGAUUCCAGUGAGUCAGGCAGGAGAAAGUUUGGUGAGUCUCGCUUACUCAAACACUGGUCCUUUAGACAUUACAUACCUGUAAAAGGAAGGUAGGGAAUAGUUGGA
Hypanus sabinus (Atlantic stingray) is the source of this 345-nucleotide long non-coding RNA. RefSeq lists it as uncharacterized. NCBI's taxonomy places the organism in Eukaryota, Metazoa, Chordata, Chondrichthyes, Myliobatiformes, Dasyatidae. The record is from RefSeq and is a predicted model, not a curated record. The transcript is spliced from 3 exons.